AUUGAACGCUGGCGGCAGGCCUAACACAUGCAAGUCGAGCGGAUGAAGGGAGCUUGCUCCUGGAUUCAGCGGCGGACGGGUGAGUAAUGCCUAGGAAUCUGCCUGGUAGUGGGGGAUAACGUCCGCAAACGGGCGCUAAUACCGCAUACGUCCUGAGGGAGAAAGUGGGGGAUCUUCGGACCUCACGCUAUCAGAUGAGCCUAGGUCGGAUUAGCUAGUUGGUGGGGUAAAGGCCUACCAAGGCGACGAUCCGUAACUGGUCUGAGAGGAUGAUCAGUCACACUGGAACUGAGACACGGUCCAGACUCCUACGGGAGGCAGCAGUGGGGAAUAUUGGACAAUGGGCGAAAGCCUGAUCCAGCCAUGCCGCGUGUGUGAAGAAGGUCUUCGGAUUGUAAAGCACUUUAAGUUGGGAGGAAGGGCAGUAAGUUAAUACCUUGCUGUUUUGACGUUACCAACAGAAUAAGCACCGGCUAACUUCGU
Molecule: ribosomal RNA, 483 nt
Filed under: uncultured bacterium
Lineage: Bacteria
Description: partial 16S ribosomal RNA
Rfam family: Bacterial small subunit ribosomal RNA
Source: RNAcentral